This 789-nucleotide ribosomal RNA is filed under the name uncultured bacterium. Its description in RNAcentral is "bacterial SSU rRNA". It matches the Rfam family "Bacterial small subunit ribosomal RNA", at positions 94 to 863 of the family's 1533-position model. The record is from RNAcentral.
AGCGGCGAACGGGUGAGUAACACGUGGACAACUGCCCAAUAGCGGGGGACAACUUGGGGAAACAUAAGCUAAUACCGCAUACGCUCCUUCGGCUAAGGCCGAUUGAGGAAAGAUCGCCUAUCCUUGGAAGCGGUCGCUAUUGGAGGGGUCCGCGGCUGAUUAGCUAGUUGGUGAGGUAAUGGCUCACCAAGGCGACGAUCAGUAGCCGGCCUGAGAGGGCGAUCGGCCACACUGGAACUGAGACACGGUCCAGACUCCUACGGGAGGCAGCAGUGGGGAAUAUUGGACAAUGGGGGAAACCCUGAUCCAGCAACGCCGCGUGGAGGAUGACGGCCUUCGGGUUGUAAACUCCUGUCAGGUGGAGCGAAAAGCGCCGGUAAAUAGCCGGUGUCUAUGACGGUACCACCAGAGGAAGCCCCGGCUAACUCCGUGCCAGCAGCCGCGGUAAUACGGAGGGGGCAAGCGUUAUUCGGAAUUAUUGGGCGUAAAGGGCGCGUAGGCGGCUGUGCAAGUCAGGGGUGAAAUCCCUCGGCUCAACCGAGGAACUGCCUCUGAAACUGCACGGCUUGAGACCGGAGGAGGGUGGUGGAAUUCCUAGUGUAGCGGUGAAAUGCGUAGAUAUUAGGAGGAACACCAGUGGCGAAGGCGACCACCUGGACCGGAUCUGACGCUGAGGCGCGAAAGUGUGGGGAGCAAACAGGAUUAGAUACCCUGGUAGUCCACACUGUAAACGAUGAGCACUCGGUGCUGCGGGUGUCGACCCCUGCAGUGCCUUAGGUAACCCGUUAA